RNAcentral lists this long non-coding RNA (1123 nucleotides) under Triticum aestivum (bread wheat). RNAcentral's name for it is "long non-coding RNA (TAES_LNC020875)". The record is from RNAcentral. Lineage: Eukaryota; Viridiplantae; Streptophyta; Magnoliopsida; Poales; Poaceae.
GCGUUUCAAAUAGCCAAUUUACCUUUCUCCCUAAACGUUUCUUGCUCUGCUGUCAGUAUCACUGGUCUUGGGGUUUAGAUUUUGUCAAUAUCAAAAUUUGGGUACUUACCAGCAAACGAGUUGUUGAUCUAUUUACUUAGUCAAGUUCAUUUCUGCUAUGUUCUUCAGUCAAGCUUUAACUUCUAGCCUUGAUUAAAUGGCAAUGAUAUUCUCCAAAACCUACUGAUGUUAGAAAUCCUGCUACCCAACAGGAUGGUCUGCCAAGUGAUGUGAGCACUACUCAGUGUGUGGCAGACGUUCAUUAGGAUUGCAAACAAGAUUUGAGAUGUAGGUGUUGGUCAAAUUUUGGAAAAUUAUGGGUCUGCAGGUACAAAAUUACAUGUAGGAAAUUUUACGGUUUUCUGUGAUUAAAGAUUCAAGCAUGAAUGUGAAUAUAGUUCCAAGGUUUUUUUGCUAACAUGUUUUCUUAUAUUUACUUCUCUUUGUAUGAUAUUGGAAUUUAUAUGCUUACUUAACUGCUCAAAGAUAUCUGUUUUGUUUGUCGAUUGGAAGUUACCACAUUAAGCUUGAGUCCAUGUGAAUUGACACACUAUUUGGAACAAAAUAAAACUUAGUACUGUACUACAGUUUGGUGGUUAAAUUACUCCUUACCUCGACAUUCUAAUAAUCUGUAAUAAGGAUAGUUCGCAUUGGUCAUGCAAGAUCACUUGCGGGAAAUUGAUGGCUUGUUGUUGUUGUGCUUCACAAUUUCUGUUGUUUCUAUUUAUUUUACACUUUUUUAUUUACUGCAAUUUGCAAAACAGAAGUACUAGCAUAACUGGAAUUUCUGUUUGUGUUUUUUACAGAGGGAACAUAGUCUGAUGGGACAGCUCCUAAAUCAAUGUCACAUAAGGCAACAACAUAUUUGGAGGAGUUGAAGGAGUUGAGAUGAGUUGAUCACAUCCUCAUGUGUCUUUGCAUGUUGCAACAGGGGCGGUGUACUUUUUUUAGAUAGAAGAACUUAUGGGGCACAUCAGAUGUACUGACCACUCCUUAGUCCCAAGAACAGGAGUAACAAUUUUCUCAAGUUCUGUUGUUGUAUUGUACUAGAAGUAUGUUCAUCAAACUGCCUUAUCAACCAUUU